UGAGGUUGGCAGGGUCACUCUCUUUAGUAACUGCCAGGAGAAGGAGCUCCUACACAAGAGAGCUGCCUGUCACAUUUUGCCGCCUGCUUGGCUGCCUCCAGCUAUUCAGAAACAGAUCCAGGAUUUUACAAAGGGAGGUGCAGUUGCAGCAACUGGUGCUGCAGGGGUGGCUGUACCUCCAGCACCCCAUCUUCUCUACAUCACUCAGAACACACCAUAUGAGCAGCAGCUGGGGACUUGAAUCCCCCAAAAAGAACCUGCUGGAUGUGGGGGAGACCCAGCUGCUGCUAGUGGAGAUGGGGCCCCAAGGAUGCUCUGCAUGUGCUGGCUCUGUCAGCACUGGAGCCAGGAUCAGAUGGCUCUCCUCGAGCAGCUGGUCACUGUCUCUGAGGCCCAGCUCAAGGAUAGUUGGACCUGACACAGCAAAUUCUGCAAGAUGUGGCAGGCCAUGGACUGGGCAGACUGCAAGGUAUACCUUGUCCUCCUGCAGAGGCAGGUGGUGGUCGAGGAGGAGCAGCACACCAUGGUGCGAUAAGUGGUGGAGGCCACCGAGGAUGAUUGGCAUGUUCUUGACAUGGUGUUGGCACUGGCAGUGUCUUUUGUCCCACCUGGCAUCCAGGCUCCAGCCCCAGGCCUGGCUGGCUGGUGGCAGCCACCUGUGGGCCUGCUUCACCCCCUCCCCACCACAGUGGGCAUGAAAGAAGGUGCAGCACUGCCUGCAGUGGCCAGGGCCCCCAGCCCCUGCUCCAGAUCCUGGAUCCCAAGUGGCUGGACUCCCUACCUCACCCUGCCUUGAUGUGGCCCCUGAGUGGGAGGUGGCUGUGGCAAAGCCAACUCCCCAUGCAGGCUCUGCUGGGCCAGCCCUGUGGAAAAGAAGGGAGAGUGGCCUGAGAAGGCUGGAGAGUGUCCGCCUGCAUCCUUGGGCCAGCCCCUGGCCCGCCAGACUCACUGUGCCAUCUGAACCCAAGGUACUGGCAGCUGAGACUGGGGUUCUGGGUGCCUGCCUCCAGUCUCCAUGCUCUAGUCACCUCUUCCCCACUGUUCCCCCUCAGAUACUUAUAGAUAUACACUGUACAUAGUUCUGUGGGGAUGAGUGUGCUUUAUUGGUGGUAUGUGUUUUGGCUGGGGAGGGUGC
This is a long non-coding RNA of Alligator mississippiensis (American alligator), 1135 nucleotides long. RefSeq lists it as uncharacterized. Lineage: Eukaryota; Metazoa; Chordata; Crocodylia; Alligatoridae. The record is from RefSeq and is a predicted model, not a curated record. The transcript is spliced from 3 exons.